RNAcentral lists this long non-coding RNA (986 nucleotides) under Nicotiana benthamiana. RNAcentral's name for it is "long non-coding RNA (NBEN_LNC007382)". The stretch from base 230 to 300 matches the Rfam family "MIR6151 microRNA precursor family". The record is from RNAcentral. Lineage: Eukaryota; Viridiplantae; Streptophyta; Magnoliopsida; Solanales; Solanaceae.
UCCCUAACCCCUCAAACGCGUACUGCGACUGUUCUUCAUCUUCUCCCAAAAAACACAUGUAUCCAGCCCUAAUACUGUCCAAAUUCGAGCGAUUGAACCUCAAAUCUCUCCUCAUGCGUUCCACUUUCUCUCCUCUUACCACAGAUUUCUGUUUUUGACGCUAAGAAUCCCUCUCCUCUCACUCGCUCAUUUUUAAGGCCUAUCUCACGAUUGGAUGUUUCUGGAGACGAAAUGCUGGAUGAGUGUGAGGUAUUGGAUUGAUCUUAUUCAAUACGAGCCCCACAUUCAUCAAGGAUUGGUCUUCAUAAGAAGAUUUAUCCAAUUUUAUGGGAGGGGGGUUCUCGAAAAAUUCAGAUAAAAAAUGGGUGGUAAGGUUUCCGGAACUGCUAGUUUUCGGGGUUUGUUUUUCUUCUUUGACAAGUUCUUUUCAAAAGUUUAAAGGAAACAUAUACACAAUUUUAUUUUUUAUUUUGAAGUUCGAGCUUGAUUUUCUACUGCCAUCUUGCUAGUUGUUGCUGAACCUCAUUAGCAUUUAGAGUCGAAAGGUGCGUUGUUGAAUCUGUAAUUAUUAAAGGAAGUUUAAAAUGUUAGGUUAAAUUUCUUUUCUCUUCUAUAUUUCUGGUUGAGGUGGCUUGAACUGUGAAAUUUUGUUCAAUGGUAUUCUAUUCUGUGAUUUAAUUUUUGGUGAUGAAUUUCUGGUAUGACGUGAUUUGAGUACAUCCAGCUAGUAGAAGCUGAGUCAGAAGGGUCGUCCUUUGUGCUUUUACAUUAAUUGCUAUCAUGAUGUCGAGUUUUCAUUUAAGACAAGAUUUUGAGUUAAUUUUUUGAGUUUGAAGGUCUAAUGAAAUGGUUCUGGUGUGGAAAUUUGACAACCUAUUCAAGGAUUGGAUGCCUGCUUGAGUUGCAGCAUCGCUGAACUUUGUCAGCCCUUUCUCUGCUGAUUUGAGUUUGUAAUUUGCUGUGUCUAGGUCACUAUAGGAUUUAUG